Molecule: non-coding RNA, 310 nt
Organism: Paramuricea clavata
Lineage: Eukaryota; Metazoa; Cnidaria; Anthozoa; Malacalcyonacea; Plexauridae
Source: the annotation of a GenBank genome assembly
CUUAAGGAAUGCAUUAGUCUUAUAUAUAAUAUAUAAGUAAAAUAAUCUACGAGAUAAUUGAGUUCCAGUGUGCGACCAUUGAAAAACAGUAAAGUGGAAGUGGAGCAGAGUUUGAUAGCAUGCGGUCAUCAUAUUAUAUUGUGAAAGUAAAAAGCUCUCCAUAUAUAGAAGAAACUUUCUUCUAUUUCAAGAAACAAUGGUUAUCUCACACAAUUCAUUAGCUUGUAAGCUAUAUAUAGUUUAGAGUUAUACUAUAUAGAAACAUUCACAGACACAGCCCAUGAUUGUGAGGGUUAUAACUCUCCUGGAG